Molecule: ribosomal RNA, 256 nt
Filed under: uncultured Pseudomonas sp.
Lineage: Bacteria; Pseudomonadati; Pseudomonadota; Gammaproteobacteria; Pseudomonadales; Pseudomonadaceae
Description: partial 16S ribosomal RNA
Rfam family: Bacterial small subunit ribosomal RNA
Source: RNAcentral
CGGCGGACGGGUGAGUAAUGCCUAGGAAUCUGCCUGGUAGUGGGGGACAACGUUUCGAAAGGAACGCUAAUACCGCAUACGUCCUACGGGAGAAAGCAGGGGACCUUCGGGCCUUGCGCUAUCAGAUGAGCCUAGGUCGGAUUAGCUAGUUGGUGAGGUAAUGGCUCACCAAGGCGACGAUCCGUAACUGGUCUGAGAGGAUGAUCAGUCACAAUGGAACUGAGACACGGUCCAGACUCCACGGGAGGCAGCAGNG